GCGCCCGUAGUCCAACGGCAGAGGCAGCCGCCUCAAAAGCGGUACAGUGCUGGUUCAAAUCCGGCCGGGCGCACCA
Molecule: transfer RNA, 76 nt
Filed under: Acidobacteriota bacterium
Lineage: Bacteria; Pseudomonadati; Acidobacteriota
Description: Acidobacteria bacterium tRNA-Leu
Rfam family: tRNA
About the family: Transfer RNA (tRNA) molecules are approximately 80 nucleotides in length.
Source: RNAcentral